Molecule: ribosomal RNA, 505 nt
Filed under: uncultured soil bacterium
Lineage: Bacteria
Description: bacterial SSU rRNA
Rfam family: Bacterial small subunit ribosomal RNA
Source: RNAcentral
AGAACGAACGCUGGCGGCGUGCUUAACACAUGCAAGUCGAACGCGAAAGGGACUUCGGUUCCGAGUAGAGUGGCGCACGGGUGAGUAACGCGUAGAUAACCUGUCCUUGUGUCUGGAAUAAUACGUCGAAAGGUGUACUAAUACCGGAUACUCUUGCUUUAUAUAAGUAUAGUAAGCAAAGGUGGCCUCUGACAUAAGCUACUGCAUAAGGAGGGGUCUGCGUACCAUUAGCUAGUAGGUGGGGUAAAAGGCCUACCUAGGCUACGAUGGUUAGCGGGUCUGAGAGGAUGAUCCGCCACACUGGCACUGGAACACGGGCCAGACUCCUACGGGAGGCAGCAGUGAGGAAUAUUGCGCAAUGGGGGGCAACCCUGACGCAGCGACGCCGCGUGAGUGAGGAAGGCCUUCAGGUCGUAAAGCUCUGUCAAAGGGAAAGAAGUGCAUGGAGGUUAAUACCCUUCAUGUUUGACGGUACCCUUAAAGGAAGCACGGCUAAACUCCGUGU